This 491-nucleotide ribosomal RNA is filed under the name uncultured bacterium. RNAcentral describes it as "partial 16S ribosomal RNA". It matches the Rfam family "Bacterial small subunit ribosomal RNA", at positions 29 to 506 of the family's 1533-position model. The record is from RNAcentral.
AGUGAACGCUGGCGGUAGGCCUAACACAUGCAAGUCGAACGGCAGCACAGUAAGAGCUUGCUCUUAUGGGUGGCGAGUGGCGGACGGGUGAGGAAUACAUCGGAAUCUACUUUUUCGUGGGGGAUAACGUAGGGAAACUUACGCUAAUACCGCAUACGACCUACGGGUGAAAGCAGGGGAUCUUCGGACCUUGCGCGAUUGAAUGAGCCGAUGUCGGAUUAGCUAGUUGGCGGGGUAAAGGCCCACCAAGGCGACGAUCCGUAGCUGGUCUGAGAGGAUGAUCAGCCACACUGGAACUGAGACACGGUCCAGACUCCUACGGGAGGCAGCAGUGGGGAAUAUUGGACAAUGGGCGCAAGCCUGAUCCAGCCAUACCGCGUGGGUGAAGAAGGCCUUCGGGUUGUAAAGCCCUUUUGUUGGGAAAGAAAAGCAGCAGGUUAAUACCCCGCUGUUCUGACGGUACCCAAAGAAUAAGCACCGGCUAACUUCGU